Molecule: long non-coding RNA, 382 nt
Organism: Drosophila bipectinata
Lineage: Eukaryota; Metazoa; Arthropoda; Insecta; Diptera; Drosophilidae
Source: RefSeq, a predicted model, not a curated record
AACCAUCACUAUUUCAAAAAAUUCGAAGAAGAAAAGCACGCUUAAGAAAGUGAUAUUGGUGGUGUAGGCGCGACGCUGAUUCAGUUUCAACAAUGGAUAAGUUCUUGAACCGUACAACGAAGGAAAAUAUUGAAGGUCCGUCGCCUAAAAGAAAGCGAGAAACAUCAUGUGUGUGGCAGCACUUUAAGAAAACCGAGGACAAGACUAAGGCCACCUGCAUUCACUGUGGGAAAACGUUAAAAACGGCAGGAAACACAACUAACUUAAUGGACCACCUCAAACGUAUACAUCCAAACUAUAGUGUUUUAGAAAUAGAUGGUCAGUCUCCAAGUCUAGAUAGUUUCAUGCAACGAAAUAUAGAGUAUCCGCCAGAGUCCCAAAA